Ochotona curzoniae (black-lipped pika) is the source of this 384-nucleotide non-coding RNA. NCBI's taxonomy places the organism in Eukaryota, Metazoa, Chordata, Mammalia, Lagomorpha, Ochotonidae. The record is from the annotation of a RefSeq genome assembly.
AUGAACAUGAGGGCUCCUGCUCAGCUCCUGGGCCUCCUGCUGCUCUGGUUCCCAGGUGCCAGCUGUGCUGUUCAGAUCACCCAGUCACCAUCCGUGGUGUCUGCACCUGUGGGAGGCACAGUCACCAUCAACUGCCAGUCAAGUCAGAGUGUUUACGAGAACAAGUAUCUAUCCUGGUUUCAGCAGAAGCCAGGGCAACGUCCAAAGCUCCUGAUCUAUCAUGCAUCUAGUUUAGCCUCUGGGGUCCCCUCGAGGUUCAAGGGCAGUGGAUCUGGGAAAUCAUUCACUCUCACCAUCAGCCCGGUGCAGGCUGACGAUGCAGGAACCUACUACUGUGCUGGAGAGUAUGAUGAUAUCAGUGAUACCACAGUGAUACAAGCCUGA